Molecule: ribosomal RNA, 259 nt
Filed under: uncultured prokaryote
Description: partial 16S ribosomal RNA
Rfam family: Bacterial small subunit ribosomal RNA
Source: RNAcentral
UACGGAGGAUGCGAGCGUUAUCCGGAUUUAUUGGGUUUAAAGGGUGCGUAGGCGGCUUUUUAAGUCAGCGGUGAAAUUUUGCAGCUUAACUGUAACAGUGCCGUUGAUACUGGGGAGCUAGGAUUUGGUUGCUGUGGGUGGAAUGUGCGGUGUAGCGGUGAAAUGCUUAGAGAUCACACAAAAUAUCGAUUGCGAAGGCAGCUCACAAAGCCAAGAUUGACGCUGAGGCACGAAAGUGUGGGGAUCAAACAGGAUUAGA